AAAACAUCUAGUCUGUAUUGCCAGUUGAACAUAAGAACUCCACAGAGAAUAAAAACUUUAUUUUCAUCAAUGGCAGAUGGAUCUCGAACUGAAGCUGAACAACUGAACAAGAGCCCCAAGGAAAAUUCUGGAGAAAGAAAUGAACAAGAGCUUUCGUAAAAGGAAAAUAGUGAGACCUGGAAGAUUCAUAAGAAUGAAAUAAGCUUAUCUGAAGGCACAGACGUUGGCGUUUUCGACUUCGGCAACAAUUAUCAUGCAGGUCCUAUUGAUGGUCUUGAAGCAAGGAGGGCUCGAAACUACAGCGUUGAGGGCAAUAAAAUCCAUUCAAACAAAGGCCAGCGUGUUGGGAUUGGCAAAUUUGGCAACAACUACUCCAUGUCCAACGUAUCAUUUUUUCUUGGUGGGCUUAUUAUUCUAGUUUUUGCUAUAUAUAAUAUAUACAGCGAAGCUAAAGGUACGAACAAGAAGGAAAUAUGAAUGAGAUGAAAAGGGAAGGGGCUGCUGAAUAAACAGGCUGGAAUUUCCAAGAAGAAAACAAAAACUGAGAUGUAUGGUUUGGAGAUUUAUGGCCACUAGAACUCAUACACUCGAACUUUUCUCUGAAUCUGAAUGUUAUUUCUCUUAUAUUUAUGUAUUUCUUUUCUUCUUCU
Non-coding RNA from Prunus avium (sweet cherry), 650 nucleotides. The record is from RefSeq and is a predicted model, not a curated record. NCBI's taxonomy places the organism in Eukaryota, Viridiplantae, Streptophyta, Magnoliopsida, Rosales, Rosaceae.